This 107-nucleotide small nuclear RNA is filed under the name Mus spicilegus (steppe mouse). Lineage: Eukaryota; Metazoa; Chordata; Mammalia; Rodentia; Muridae. The record is from RNAcentral.
GUGCUCGCUUCGGUAGCACAUAUACUAAAAUUGGAAUGAUACAGAGAAAGUUAGCAUGGCCCCUGCACAAGGAUGACAUGCAAAUUUGUGAAGCAUUCCAUAUUUUU